This 506-nucleotide ribosomal RNA is filed under the name uncultured bacterium. RNAcentral's name for it is "partial 16S ribosomal RNA". It matches the Rfam family "Bacterial small subunit ribosomal RNA", at positions 28 to 523 of the family's 1533-position model. The record is from RNAcentral.
GAUGAACGCUAGCUACAGGCUUAACACAUGCAAGUCGAGGGGUAACGAGAGGAAAGCUUGCUUUCCUUGUCGACGACCGGCGCACGGGUGAGUAACGCGUAUCCAACCUGCCCCCAACUAGGGAAUAACCUUGCGAAAGUAAGACUAAUACCCUAUAAUUUCCUCAGAUGUCAUCUGACGAGGAAUAAAGAUUUAUCGGUUGUGGAUGGGGAUGCGUCUGAUGAGCCUGUUAGCGGGGUAACGGCCCACCAAGGCAACGAUCAGUAGGGGUUCUGAGAGGAAGUGCCCCCACAGUGGAACUGAGACACGGUCCAAGCUCCUACGGUAGGAAGCAGUGAGGAAUAUUGGUAGAUGGGCGGAAGCCUGAACCAGCCAAUUAGCGUGCAGUAUGACGGCCCUAUGGGUUGUAAACUGCUUUGAUACAGGAAUAAAGUUAGCCACGUGUGGUUAGCUGGAGUUACGGUAUGAAUAAGGACCGGCUAAUUCCGUGCCAGCAGCCGCCGUAU